RNAcentral lists this ribosomal RNA (699 nucleotides) under uncultured crenarchaeote. RNAcentral describes it as "bacterial SSU rRNA". It matches the Rfam family "Archaeal small subunit ribosomal RNA", at positions 587 to 1285 of the family's 1478-position model. The record is from RNAcentral. Lineage: Archaea; Thermoproteati; Thermoproteota.
UCCGGCUUGGGGGCGGGGGAGGUCGGCGGUAGUCCCGGGGUAUGGGCGAAAUCCUAUAAUCCCGGGAGGACCACCAGUGGCGAAGGCGGCCGACUAAAACGCGCCCGACGGUGAGGGACGAAAGCUGGGGGAGCGAACGGGAUUAGAUACCCCGGUAGUCCCAGCUGUAAACGAUGCAGGCUAGGUGUUGGAACGGCUACGAGCCGUCCCGGUGCCGCAGGGAAGCCAUUAAGCCUGCCACCUGGGGAGUACGGCCGCAAGGCUGAAACUUAAAGGAAUUGGCGGGGGAGCACCACAAGGGGUGAAGCUUGCGGUUUAAUUGGAGUCAACACCGGGAACCUUACCAGGAGCGACAGUUGGAUGAAGGUCAGAUUAAAGGUCUUACCGGACUAUCUGAGAGGAGGUGCAUGGCCGUCGCCAGUUCGUGCCGUGAGGUGUUCUCUUAAGUGAGACAACGAACGAGACCCGUACCCUUAUUUGCCAGCGGAUUCCUUCGGGAUUCUGGGCACACUAGGGGGACUGCCUCCGCUAAGGGGGAGGAAGGAGCGGGCCACGGCAGGUCAGUAUGCCCCUAAUCUCCUGGGCCACACGCGAGCUGCAAUGGCUGGGACAAUGGGAUCCGACCUCGAGAGAGGAAGGUAAUCCUCAAACCCAGCCUCAGUUGGGAUCGAGGGCUGCAACCCGCCCUCGUGAACAUGG